AACGAACGCUGGCGGCAUGCCUAACACAUGCAAGUCGAACGAGAUCUUCGGGUCUAGUGGCGCACGGGUGCGUAACGCGUGGGAAUCUGCCCUUUGGUUCGGAAUAACAGUUGGAAACGACUGCUAAUACCGGAUGAUGACGAAAGUCCAAAGAUUUAUUGACAGAGGAUGAGCCCGCGUAGGAUUAGCUAGUUGGUGUGGUAAAGGCGCACCAAGGCGACGAUCCUUAGCUGGUCUGAGAGGAUGAUCAGCCACACGGGGACUGAGACACGGCCCAGACUCCUACGGGAGGCAGCAGUGGGGAAUAUUGGACAAUGGGCGAAAGCCUGGUCCAGCAAUGCCGCGUGAGUGAUGAAGGCCUUAGGGUUGUAAAGCUCUUUUACCCGGGAUGAUAAUGACAGUACCGGGAGAAUAAGCUCCGGCUAACUACGUGCCAGCCGCCGCAGUAA
RNAcentral lists this ribosomal RNA (449 nucleotides) under uncultured bacterium. RNAcentral's name for it is "partial 16S ribosomal RNA". It matches the Rfam family "Bacterial small subunit ribosomal RNA", at positions 29 to 523 of the family's 1533-position model. The record is from RNAcentral.